This 253-nucleotide ribosomal RNA is filed under the name uncultured bacterium. RNAcentral describes it as "partial 16S ribosomal RNA". It matches the Rfam family "Bacterial small subunit ribosomal RNA", at positions 524 to 776 of the family's 1533-position model. The record is from RNAcentral.
UACGGAGGGUGCAAGCGUUGUUCGGAAUUACUGGGCGUAAAGCGCAGGUAGGCGGUCUCUCUUGUCUGAGGUGAAAUCCCUGAGCUUAACUCAAGAAGUGCCUCAGAAACGGUGAGACUAGAGUUCUGGAGAGGGUCGUGGAAUUCCCGGUGUAGCGGUGAAAUGCGCAGAUAUCAGGAGGAACACCGGUGGCGAAGGCGGAUCUCUGGGCCGUGCCUGACGCUGAGGCGCGAAAGCGUGGGGGGCGAACAGG